AGACAGUGGUCCCCAUUCCUGGAGCAGGGCCACAUCUCCACAUCUCAGCAGAGACUGGCGACAUUCAGCUCCUCCCCAGUGUUACCAACAUAGGAGCCAAGUCCUUGCCCACGCACCGUCUCACCUCACCAACUUGAGUUCCAUGUUAAUUCUGAUCUUCCGUCCACAAAAUGGUCUUGAUGCCUCAGCCAUCCACGCGUGCUGGACGGUCUCUCCGAUUUCCCCCUUGAGAUCCCUCCGUGCUUCCCAAGCCUGGAGAUCCUACUUCACUUCCGGCCGGGAAGCUUUAUUGUGGCCAUUUCACAGCUGGAAAGGAUGAAAAGCCAGGUCCCCAGACGGCGAGAAGCCAAACCAGGAUUCAGCCCCACACGGAUCUGCGUCCUUCCAGGAAAAAGCCAGAGGCACCACCACCAGGUGGUGACCUGGGAAGCCUCUAGUGAUAACAGAGGCCAAGGUUAGGGUAACGCAGCGGGAAUUGCUGGGGCCAGGAUGCUGGGAAGGGGCAGAUCUGAGUCCUAGGGAAUGCAGGGUCUGGGUGGGCUGGCCAGCCUGGGGAGGGACACACAGAGUUAAGAACUCAUUGCAGUAAAUUAUUUUUAUAGAGUAUCUUAUAAAACUUCCACAAAUAGGAUCUCGUUUGUUCCUCUUCACAGAUUUGGAAAGUCAGUCUCAGCAUCCCCUUGAAUGCAGAUGCUCUGAUUCAAAAGCUGAUGCAUCCCCACCCCUCCCCCACCCCCACCCCCGCCCCCCAU
Molecule: long non-coding RNA, 752 nt
Filed under: Mustela putorius furo (domestic ferret)
Lineage: Eukaryota; Metazoa; Chordata; Mammalia; Carnivora; Mustelidae
Description: lncRNA (ENSMPUG00000026993.1)
Source: RNAcentral